RNAcentral lists this long non-coding RNA (1008 nucleotides) under Ananas comosus (pineapple). RNAcentral's name for it is "long non-coding RNA (ACOM_LNC037453)". Lineage: Eukaryota; Viridiplantae; Streptophyta; Magnoliopsida; Poales; Bromeliaceae. The record is from RNAcentral.
AACAAAUUACUAAAAUAUAAAAUAAAUUUUUACAACUAAUAUAUAUAUAUAUUUUUUUGAGAGAUAGAUAGCAAGCUAUCCGCUUCGCUUAUUUUAUACAAAAAUAAUUCAAACUUGAAAUCUCGGAUACCAACCACCAAGCCUUUUGUCAUUUACGCUAGGGACAAUCAGUGUUACAAUUAACCAAUAUUUUGUAAAUGAGAAAUAUAUUGGUACAUAGAGUCUAAAUACUUGGGCAGGCCCGGUUUUUAAGAGCUAUACUCCAUCUCAUCCUACUAUUACUUUUAGUAAUCUCCUUAAUUAUUUUAAUAGCUGAAUAAUUUUCUGAUGAAUUAAUACACAUCUAUUAAACUAUAUGAAUCCUCAAUAUUUGUUGCCACGUGGCAAGUUUUUCUUCACCCUCACUAAUGUAACUCUUCUUCUUUCCAUCACUACAUUUUUUUUUUUUUUGAGAACUAGGUAGCAAGCUACCUGCUUCAUUCCAUCACUAAAUUUUCAAUAUGCAUUUUAAUGGUCCCAUUAAACAAACUUUCAAUUAGUGCAUUUAAAUGGUCUCAUUACCUUCCCUCCACUAUAUUUUCAAUUAAUAUAAAUUGUUUCACUACCAAACUUUCAAUUAGUAUAUUUAAAUGGUCCUACUACUAUCUACGAUCCUAAUCUCUCUAUAUCCAAUUAUUCAUCAUGUUCACUAAAUUUUCAAUAUACAUUUUAACGGUCUCAUUAAUCAAACUUUCAAUUAGUACAUUUAAAUGGUCCCACUACCUUCCCUCCACUAUACUUUCAAUUAAUGUAAAUGGUUCCACUACCAAACUUUCAAUUAAUAUAUUUAAAUGGUCCUACUACUAUCUACGAUCCUAACCUCUAUCUCUAAUUAUUCAUCAUGGCCCAUUUUCCUCCUUCCACUGAACUUUCAAUCCUUUAUCUUCGAUUUGUUCAUCAAUUCUUUAUUUCUCAUCUUUAGCUAUACACCAUCACCUCCUUCCCUCACUCCCUCUCUCUCUCACUAAU